This 77-nucleotide transfer RNA is filed under the name Salmonella enterica subsp. enterica serovar Typhimurium. RNAcentral's name for it is "tRNA-Arg". It matches the Rfam family "tRNA". From Rfam's summary of the family: Transfer RNA (tRNA) molecules are approximately 80 nucleotides in length. Their secondary structure includes four short double-helical elements and three loops (D, anti-codon, and T loops). Further hydrogen bonds mediate the characteristic L-shaped molecular structure. tRNAs have two regions of fundamental functional importance: the anti-codon, which is responsible for specific mRNA codon recognition, and the 3' end, to which the tRNAs corresponding amino acid is attached (by aminoacyl-tRNA synthetases). tRNAs cope with the degeneracy of the genetic code in two manners: having more than one tRNA (with a specific anti-codon) for a particular amino acid; and 'wobble' base-pairing, i.e. permitting non-standard base-pairing at the 3rd anti-codon position. The record is from RNAcentral. Lineage: Bacteria; Pseudomonadati; Pseudomonadota; Gammaproteobacteria; Enterobacterales; Enterobacteriaceae.
GCGCCCGUAGCUCAGCUGGAUAGAGCGCUGCCCUCCGGAGGCAGCGGUCUCAGGUUCGCAUCCUGUCGGGCGUACCA